AAAAAUGUAUAGUUUAUUAUUAGAGUAGUAAUAGUUAUGUUCUUGAAACUCAAAAAAUUUGGCGGUAUUUUAGUCUAUUCAGAGGAAUCUGUGGUGUAAUCGAUAUUCCACGUUGAAUCUUACUUAAAUUUGUAUUUCAAUUUGUAUACCGCCGUUAUUUAAAAAUUUUGAAAGAAUAAUAAUAUUUAAAAUUUUUUAUUAGAAAAUAAUUCAGGUCAAGGUGCAGUUUAUAUUUAAGUAUUUCAUGGAUUACAAUAAAAUUAUUUAAAUGGAUUAAAUUAUGAAAUUAAUUUAUGAAAGUGGAUUUGAUAGUAAAUUUUUAAAGAUUAAAAAAUUGAUU
RNAcentral lists this ribosomal RNA (340 nucleotides) under Hydrophorus praecox. RNAcentral describes it as "partial 12S ribosomal RNA". The record is from RNAcentral. Lineage: Eukaryota; Metazoa; Arthropoda; Insecta; Diptera; Dolichopodidae.